Long non-coding RNA from Oncorhynchus tshawytscha (Chinook salmon), 2227 nucleotides. NCBI's taxonomy places the organism in Eukaryota, Metazoa, Chordata, Actinopteri, Salmoniformes, Salmonidae. The record is from Ensembl.
GAGUAGUGUUAGUGUGUGUUAGUCACCAGGCCUUAGUGGUACCAGCCAGAGUAGUGUUAGUGUGUGUUAGUCACCAGGCCUUAGUGGUACCAGCCAGAGUAGUGUUAGUGUGUGUUAGUCACCAGGCCUUAGUGGUACCAGCCAGAGUAGUGUUAGUUACCAGGCCUUAGUGGUACCAGCCAGAGUAGUGUUAGUCACCAGGCCUUAGUGGUACCAGCCAGAGUAGUGUUAGUGUGUGUUAGUCACCAGGCCUUAGUGGUACCAGCCAGAGUAGUGUUAGUUACCAGGCCUUAGUGGUACCAGCCAGAGUAGUGUUGGUGUGUGUUAGUCACCAGGCCUUAGUGGUACCAGCCAGAGUAGUGUUAGUCACCAGGCCUUAGUGGUACCAGCCAGAGUAGUGUUAGUCACCAGGCCUUAGUGGUACCAGCCAGAGUAGUGUUAGUGUGUGUUAGUCACCAGGCCUUAGUGGUACCGGCCAGAGUAGUGUUAGUGUGUGUUAGUCACCAGGCCUUAGUGGUACCGGCCAGAGUAGUGUUAGUCACCAGGCCUUAGUGGUACCAGCCAGAGUAGUGUUAGUGUGUGUUAGUCACCAGGCCUUAGUGGUACCAGCCAGAGUAGUGUUAGUUACCGGGCCUUAGUGGUACCAGCCAGAGUAGUGUUAGUGUGUGUUAGUCACCAGGCCUUAGUGGUACCGGCCAGAGUAGUGUUAGUGUGUGUUAGUCACCAGGCCUUAGUGGUACCAGCCAGAGUAGUGUUAGUGUGUGUUAGUUACCGGGCCUUAGUGGUACCAGCCAGAGUAGUGUUAGUGUGUGUUAGUCACCAGGCCUUAGUGGUACCGGCCAGAGUAGUGUUAGUUACCAGGCCUUAGUGGUACCAGCCAGAGUAGUGUUAGUGUGUGUUAGUCACCAGGCCUUAGUGGUACCAGCCAGAGUAGUGUUAGUGUGUGUUAGUCACCAGGCCUUAGUGGUACCAGCCAGAGUAGUGUUAGUGUGUGUUAGUUACCGGGCCUUAGUGGUACCGGCCAGAGUAGUGUUAGUGUGUGUUAGUCACCAGGCCUUAGUGGUACCAGCCAGAGUAGUGUUAGUGUGUGUUAGUUACCGGGCCUUAGUGGUACCGGCCAGAGUAGUGUUAGUCACCAGGCCUUAGUGGUACCGGCCAGAGUAGUGUUAGUCACCAGGCCUUAGUGGUACCAGCCAGAGUAGUGUUAGUGUGUGUUAGUUACCGGGCCUUAGUGGUACCAGCCAGAGUAGUGUUAGUGUGUGUUAGUCACCAGGCCUUAGUGGUACCGGCCAGAGUAGUGUUAGUGUGUGUUAGUCACCAGGCCUUAGUGGUACCAGCCAGAGUAGUGUUAGUGUGUGUUAGUUACCGGGCCUUAGUGGUACCAGCCAGAGUAGUGUUAGUGUGUGUUAGUUACCAGGCCUUAGUGGUACCAGCCAGAGUAGUGUUAGUGUGUGUUAGUUACCGGGCCUUAGUGGUACCAGCCAGAGUAGUGUUAGUGUGUGUUAGUCACCAGGCCUUAGUGGUACCGGCCAGAGUAGUGUUAGUGUGUGUUAGUCACCAGGCCUUAGUGGUACCAGCCAGAGUAGUGUUAGUGUGUGUUAGUUACCGGGCCUUAGUGGUACCAGCCAGAGUAGUGUUAGUGUGUGUUAGUUACCAGGCCUUAGUGGUACCAGCCAGAGUAGUGUUAGUGUGUGUUAGUCACCAGGCCUUAGUGGUACCAGCCAGAGUAGUGUUAGUCACCAGGCCUUAGUGGUACCAGCCAGAGUAGUGUUGGUGUGAAUUAGUUACCGGGCCUUAGUGGUACCAGCCAGAGUAGUGUUGGUGUGAAUUAGUUACCGGGCCUUAGUGGUACCAGCCAGAGUAGUGUUGGUGUGAAUUAGUUACCGGGCCUUAGUGGUACCGGCCAGAGUAGUGAUGGUAUGUAUGAAUUACCGGGCCUUAGUGGUACCGGCCAGAGUAGCGUUGGCUCCUCUCCAGAUGAGAAUCUCCAGACCCGUAUCCACCAGGAAGACAAACCUACAGGAACACAGAGCAUUAGAACUACAGAACUACAGGAACACAGCAUUAGAACUACAGAACUACAGGAACACAGAGCAUUAGAACUACAGAAACACAGAGCAUUAGAACUACAGGAACACAGAACAUUAGAACUACAGGAACACAGAACAUUAGAACUACAGGAACACAGAACAUUAGACUACAGUAACACAGAACAUUAGAACUAUAG